GCUGGCAUCCUGACAGUCAAGGGAGGCACUGGCGCUAUUGUUGAAUAUCAUGGGCCAGGUGUCGACGCCAUAUCUGCCACGGGCAUGGGAACAAUCUGCAACAUGGGAGCCGAAAUUGGUGCUACAACCUCAGUGUUCCCUUUCAAUGACAAUAUGUACGAUUA
RNAcentral lists this unclassified non-coding RNA (164 nucleotides) under uncultured fungus. RNAcentral describes it as "sequence contains ITS1". The record is from RNAcentral. Lineage: Eukaryota; Fungi.